Molecule: ribosomal RNA, 429 nt
Filed under: Bacteroidota bacterium
Lineage: Bacteria; Pseudomonadati; Bacteroidota
Description: Bacteroidetes bacterium partial 16S ribosomal RNA
Rfam family: Bacterial small subunit ribosomal RNA
Source: RNAcentral
UAGGGAAUCUUCGGCAAUGGGGGGAACCCUGACCGAGCAACGCCGCGUGAGUGAAGAAGGUUUUCGGAUCGUAAAGCUCUGUUGUUAAGGAAGAACGAGUGUGAGAAUGGAAAGUUCAUACUGUGAUGGUACUUAACCAGAAAGGGACGGCUAACUACGUGCCAGCAGCCGCGGUAAUACGUAGGUCCCGAGCGUUGUCCGGAUUUAUUGGGCGUAAAGCGAGCGCAGGCGGUUAGAUAAGUCUGAAGUGAAAGGCAGUGGCUCAACCAUUGUAGGCUUUGGAAACUGUUUAACUUGAGUGCAGAAGGGGAGAGUGGAAUUCCAUGUGUAGCGGUGAAAUGCGUAGAUAUAUGGAGGAACACCGGUGGCGAAAGCGGCUCUCUGGUCUGUAACUGACGCUGAGGCUCGAAAGCGUGGGGAGCGAACAGG